RNAcentral lists this ribosomal RNA (459 nucleotides) under uncultured bacterium. Its description in RNAcentral is "partial 16S ribosomal RNA". It matches the Rfam family "Bacterial small subunit ribosomal RNA", at positions 28 to 523 of the family's 1533-position model. The record is from RNAcentral.
GAUGAACGCUGGCGGCGUGCCUAAUACAUGCAAGUCGAGCGGUAAGGCCUCUUCGGAGGUACACGAGCGGCGGACGGCUGAGUAACACGUAGGAACAUACCCCAAAGUGAGGGAUAACUGCUCGAAGGAGUAGCUAAUACCGCAUGUGCUCUAAGGAGUAAAGCUUCGGCGCUUUGGGAAUGGCCUGCGCAUGAUUAGCUAGAUGGUGAGGUAAAAGCUCACCAUGGCGACGAUCAUUAGCUGGUCUGAGAGGAUGAUCAGCCAGACUGGGACUGAGACACGGCCCAGACUCCUACGGGAGGCAGCAGUAGGGAAUUUUCCACAAUGGGCGAAAGCCUGAUGGAGCAACGCCGCGUGCAGGAUGAAUGCCUUCGGGUUGUAAACUGCUUUUAUAUGUGACGAAUAUGACGGUAGCAUAUGAAUAAGGAUCGGCUAACUCCGUGCCAGCAGCCGCGGUAA